This 321-nucleotide unclassified non-coding RNA is filed under the name Hevea brasiliensis (rubber tree). The record is from RNAcentral. Lineage: Eukaryota; Viridiplantae; Streptophyta; Magnoliopsida; Malpighiales; Euphorbiaceae.
UUUGAUUUUGACAUCCAUUUUGGGCAGAAACAAUUAUUUAAAGUUGGUAACUUGUAAGAGUUUUAAAUUGUGUUUUCAGUUAUAUUGAUAUAGUGGACUGACACCGAAAGACGAUAAAUUGAAAUCAGACUACAAGAUAUUUAUAUGAGCUGAAAUUCAAAGAUUACAAGCUAAAAUUGAUGGCUACAAGUUACAACUAGAUGAAAUAUGUUAUUUAAGAGAUUCAUAUGGUGGUGAUAUAUAUUGUUCUCCUGACUUAUUUUGUGAAUAUCGAACCAUCAAACUACUUUUACGAGUUAGGGAGAGAGAACUUGAAAUAUG